RNAcentral lists this long non-coding RNA (483 nucleotides) under Monodelphis domestica (gray short-tailed opossum). Its description in RNAcentral is "lncRNA (ENSMODG00000042632.1)". The record is from RNAcentral. Lineage: Eukaryota; Metazoa; Chordata; Mammalia; Didelphimorphia; Didelphidae.
CACACGUCUGUGCCAGCAACAACACUCUCCCUUAAGCAAAAAGAGCUCUGGCCCCUCUGGAGCUAGUGAGUGAGGCUGGUACAGCAUGAGAAAUGCCAGGCUGGAGGAUUCCAAAGCCAGAGCUAAGGUUGCUGGGAGAAAUAGCAACACUGUCAGAUAUACAGACAAAACCACUCUGAUGGCAGAAAAUGAAGAAUGAAAAAGCCUCUUGACGAGAGUGAAAGAGGAGAGUGUCAAAGAUGGUUUCAAGCUUAAUAUUUAAAAAAAAAACAUUAAGAUGAAGGCAACUGGUCCCAUCACUUCUUGGCAGAGAGGGAGAAGAAAUGGAAGCAGUGUCAGAUGCUAUAUUCUCAGGCUCAGAGAUACCAGCAGAUAGCAACUGCAGUCAUGAAAUUAGACACUUGCUCUUUGGAAAUGGCCACUCUGGACAGCACACUAACAAGCAGAGAUAGCACCUUGCUGACAAAGCUUAUUUGGCAGAUG